CCAAAAAGAAAAAAACAAACAUAUUAUAGUUUUUAUUUGGUUAAGAUGGCAAGAAAUAAUGUUACACACCAAUUGUUCAUACAAUAAUCUAUUCAGUGCUGGUUGUGGCUUAAUACUAAAAAUACUUAAAAACAUGACAUAUAUGAAGAGUAUGAGUGAGAUUUUACAGAAUCUACUUGAUCUGUUCAUUAUAAUCAUUAAAGCUGGCAUUAGUAAAACUACAACAGUUGUGAAUCUACAUUAUAAUUAUGCACCAUGACAGCAAAUCUAGAUCACGUAAAAUGAGGGAGGAGGAUUUUUAAAGUGGGUACAAACAGAGUUGUGACUCACAAGAGUCAACAUGAACUGUGAUCAAAAUAUCCACGGCCAUGUUCUAGCUCAAGACCUGUAUGAAUCACAGGCUGAGUGGUAAUGAAAGCAAAGCAUGUAUGCACACUGAAAUACUUGGGAUAAAUA
Stegastes partitus (bicolor damselfish) is the source of this 456-nucleotide long non-coding RNA. RefSeq lists it as uncharacterized. NCBI's taxonomy places the organism in Eukaryota, Metazoa, Chordata, Actinopteri, Pomacentridae. The record is from RefSeq and is a predicted model, not a curated record. The transcript has 2 exons.